CAAACUAUAGCUUAUAUAAAGCUUUUUAGUUACAUUAAUAAGAAAACAUUGAUUUUUGUUUAGUUUGA
This 68-nucleotide transfer RNA is filed under the name Nesophrosyne maritima. Its description in RNAcentral is "tRNA-Val". The record is from RNAcentral. Lineage: Eukaryota; Metazoa; Arthropoda; Insecta; Hemiptera; Cicadellidae.